GAAGGAGCAAUCCGAGUAGAGCGGCGCACGGGUGCGUAACACGUGGAUAAUCUGCCCUUGAAUUCGGGAUAACCUUCCGAAAGGUUGGCUAAUACCGGGUAAGCUCACGGUGACUUCGGUCGCUGUGGGAAAAGUAGACCUCUGUUUACAAGUUUACGUUUGAGGAUGAGUCCGCGGCCCAUCAGCUAGUUGGCGGGGUAAUGGCCCACCAAGGCUACGACGGGUAGCUGGUCUGAGAGGACGAUCAGCCACACUGGAACUGAGACACGGUCCAGACUCCUACGGGAGGCAGCAGUGGGGAAUUUUCCACAAUGGGCGAAAGCCUGAUGGAGCAACGCCGCGUGUGUGAUGAAGGUCUUCGGAUCGUAAAGCACUUUCGACCGGGACGAAAAACCUCUGGCUAACAUCCAGGGGCCUGACGGUACCGGGAGAAGAAGCACCGGCUAACUCUGUGCCAGCAGCCGCGGUAAUACAGAGGGUGCAAGCGUUGUUCGGAAUUAUUGGGCGUAAAGCGCGUGUAGGCGGCUUGGCAAGUCAGAUGUGAAAGCCCAUGGCUUAACCAUGGAAGUGCGUCUGAAACUGCUGAGCUUGAGUGCCGGAGAGGAUGGCGGAAUUCCGCAAGUAGAGGUGAAAUUCGUAGAUAUGCGGAGGAACACCGGUGGCGAAGGCGGCCAUCUGGACGGCAACUGACGCUGAGACGCGAAAGCGUGGGGAGCAAACAGGAUUAGAUACCCUGGUAGUCCACGCUGUAAACGAUGAGAACUAGGUGUCGUGGGUGUUGACCCCCGCGGUGCCGUAGCUAACGCAUUAAG
This 812-nucleotide ribosomal RNA is filed under the name uncultured bacterium. RNAcentral describes it as "bacterial SSU rRNA". It matches the Rfam family "Bacterial small subunit ribosomal RNA", at positions 73 to 864 of the family's 1533-position model. The record is from RNAcentral.